UGCGUAGGCGGUUUGGUAAGUCUGAUGUGAAAUCUAUGGGCUCAACUCAUAGUCUGCAUCGGAAACUGCCGGGCUUGAGUGUGGGAGAGGUGAGUGGAAUUCCUGGUGUAGCGGUGAAAUGCGUAGAUAUCAGGAGGAACACCUGUGGCGAAAGCGGCUCACUGGACCAUAACUGACGCUGAUGCACGAAAGCUAGGGGAGCAAACAGGAUUAGAUACCCUGGUAGUCCUAGCCCUAAACGAUGACUGCUUGGUGUGACGGGUACCCAAUCCCGCCGUGCCGUAGCUAACGCGUUAAGCAGUCCGCCUGGGGAGUACGGUCGCAAGGCUGAA
This 332-nucleotide ribosomal RNA is filed under the name uncultured bacterium. RNAcentral describes it as "bacterial SSU rRNA". It matches the Rfam family "Bacterial small subunit ribosomal RNA", at positions 568 to 898 of the family's 1533-position model. The record is from RNAcentral.